RNAcentral lists this long non-coding RNA (369 nucleotides) under Brassica napus (rape). Its description in RNAcentral is "long non-coding RNA (BNAP_LNC005954)". Lineage: Eukaryota; Viridiplantae; Streptophyta; Magnoliopsida; Brassicales; Brassicaceae. The record is from RNAcentral.
AUGUGGUAUUAAUUCAUUAGUAAGUUAAGUUGUUUGGAUAAGUGCAUUCUUAUGUUUGGUUGGUUGAUUGUUCAAUAUAUUGUUCUUAUGGUUUUUGAGAACUCUGUCGUGGUUACAAUAAGCUUUGUAGUUUUCGAGUAUAUGAGUUGCUAACUAGAUUUUUUCUAUAGUAAAUGUUUGGACAUGUUUCUGAGUGUCUCGUUAUGUGAGUUACAGAACAUACGAUCCUUUCCAUGUGUUCUCUUGAGAAAUUUAUCAUUGUUUUUCUUUCUUUCUGUGGAAUGGAUGUUGUUCUGUAUGAACUUUAAAGGAUGAGUCAGUGAGGGAAGGAGAGGUGGUCCAUGAUCAGCAGGAACAAGCCUAUACUCA